This 238-nucleotide unclassified non-coding RNA is filed under the name Basidiomycota sp. RNAcentral describes it as "partial contains small subunit ribosomal RNA, internal transcribed spacer 1, and 5.8S ribosomal RNA". The stretch from base 1 to 47 matches the Rfam family "Eukaryotic small subunit ribosomal RNA", at positions 1785 to 1831 of the family's 1831-position model. The record is from RNAcentral. Lineage: Eukaryota; Fungi; Basidiomycota.
AAAGUCGUAACAAGGUUUCCGUAGGUGAACCUGCGGAAGGAUCAUUACUGAGGAACUCGCAUCGUUGUCGCUGGCCUUCGGGCAUGUGCACGCGUUGCAUUCUCAUCCACACACCUGUGAACCUAUCAGAGAGGGAUGGCGUUCGCGUCGUCUCUCUUUUUAUAUACAACUUUGUUAAUUCAGAACGUCGUAACAUUAAUAAAUGUAACAACUUUCAACAACGGAUCUCUUGGCUCUC